CGCGUAGGCGGUUCGGAAAGUCGGAUGUGAAAGCCCCGGGCUUAACCUGGGAAUUGCAUUCGAUACUAUCGGGCUAGAGUAUGGUAGAGGAAAGCGGAAUUCCACAUGUAGCGGUGAAAUGCGUAGAUAUGUGGAGGAACAUCAGUGGCGAAGGCGGCUUUCUGGACCAAUACUGACGCUGAGGCGCGAAAGCGUGGGGAGCAAACA
RNAcentral lists this ribosomal RNA (207 nucleotides) under uncultured bacterium. Its description in RNAcentral is "partial 16S ribosomal RNA". It matches the Rfam family "Bacterial small subunit ribosomal RNA", at positions 568 to 774 of the family's 1533-position model. The record is from RNAcentral.